UACAGAGGUCUCAAGCGUUGUUCGGAUUCAUUGGGCGUAAAGGGUGCGUAGGUGGCGGGGUAAGUCAGGUGUGAAAUCUCGGGGCUCAACCCCGAAACUGCACUUGAUACUGCCUUGCUUGAGUACUGGAGAGGAGAUUGGAAUUUACGGUGUAGCAGUGAAAUGCGUAGAUAUCGUAAGGAAGACCAGUGGCGAAGGCGGCUCACUGGACCAUAACUGACGCUGAGGCACGAAAGCUAGGGGAGCAAACAGG
Molecule: ribosomal RNA, 253 nt
Filed under: uncultured bacterium
Lineage: Bacteria
Description: partial 16S ribosomal RNA
Rfam family: Bacterial small subunit ribosomal RNA
Source: RNAcentral